This 498-nucleotide ribosomal RNA is filed under the name uncultured bacterium. Its description in RNAcentral is "partial 16S ribosomal RNA". It matches the Rfam family "Bacterial small subunit ribosomal RNA", at positions 30 to 523 of the family's 1533-position model. The record is from RNAcentral.
AUUGAACGCUGGCGGCAUGCCUUACACAUGCAAGUCGAACGGUAACAGGUCUUCGGAUGCUGACGAGUGGCGAACGGGUGAGUAAUACAUCGGAACGUGCCUAGUAGUGGGGGAUAACUACUCGAAAGAGUAGCUAAUACCGCAUGAGAUCUACGGAUGAAAGCAGGGGACCUUCGGGCCUUGUGCUACUAGAGCGGCUGAUGGCAGAUUAGGUAGUUGGUGGGGUAAAGGCUUACCAAGCCUGCGAUCUGUAGCUGGUCUGAGAGGACGACCAGCCACACUGGGACUGAGACACGGCCCAGACUCCUACGGGAGGCAGCAGUGGGGAAUUUUGGACAAUGGGCGAAAGCCUGAUCCAGCGAUGCCGCGUGCAGGAUGAAGGCCCUCGGGUUGUAAACUGCUUUUGUACGGAACGAAAAGCCUGGGGCUAAUAUCCCCGGGUCAUGACGGUACCGUAAGAAUAAGCACCGGCUAACUACGUGCCAGCCGCCGCGGUAA